GUAAUACGAAGGGGGCUAGCGUUGCUCGGAAUUACUGGGCGUAAAGGGCGCGUAGGCGGAUCGUUAAGUCAGGGGUGAAAUCCCGGGGCUCAACCUCGGAAUUGCCCUUGAUACUGGCGAUCUUGAGUCCGGAAGAGGUGAGUGGAACUCCUAGUGUAGAGGUGGAAUUCGUAGAUAUUAGGAAGAACACCAGUGGCGAAGGCGGCUCACUGGUCCGGUACUGACGCUGAGGUGCGAAAGCGUGGGGAGCAAA
RNAcentral lists this ribosomal RNA (253 nucleotides) under uncultured bacterium. RNAcentral's name for it is "partial 16S ribosomal RNA". It matches the Rfam family "Bacterial small subunit ribosomal RNA", at positions 520 to 772 of the family's 1533-position model. The record is from RNAcentral.